GAUGAACGCUGGCGGCGUGCCUAAUACAUGCAAGUCGAGCGAACAGACGAGGAGCUUGCUCCUCUGACGUUAGCGGCGGACGGGUGAGUAACACGUGGAUAACCUACCUAUAAGACUGGGAUAACUUCGGGAAACCGGAGCUAAUACCGGAUAAUAUAUUGAACCGCAUGGUUCAAUAGUGAAAGACGGUCUUGCUGUCACUUAUAGAUGGAUCCGCGCUGCAUUAGCUAGUUGGUAAGGUAACGGCUUACCAAGGCAACGAUGCGUAGCCGACCUGAGAGGGUGAUCGGCCACACUGGAACUGAGACACGGUCCAGACUCCUACGGGAGGCAGCAGUAGGGAAUCUUCCGCAAUGGGCGAAAGCCUGACGGAGCAACGCCGCGUGAGUGAUGAAGGUCUUCGGAUCGUAAAACUCUGUUAUUAGGGAAGAACAAAUGUGUAAGUAACUGUGCACGUCUUGACGGUACCUAAUCAGAAAGCCACGGCUAACUACGUG
This 497-nucleotide ribosomal RNA is filed under the name uncultured bacterium. RNAcentral's name for it is "partial 16S ribosomal RNA". It matches the Rfam family "Bacterial small subunit ribosomal RNA", at positions 28 to 507 of the family's 1533-position model. The record is from RNAcentral.